ACAUCUACUUCAUCACUUAUUCUCCAAAAAAUUUCUCCCUAAGGAAAUCCAUAAAAAGCUUCAAGAAUUCUGAUCUACAACUUCACCAUUAAAAUAUGAAGGAAACAUGUGUUUUUAAAGUACAAGUUGGUAGAACAUCUUCCAUCUUAAGGAAUUGAAGUGAAUAAUCUGAUUAACAUCAAGUUAAGGGGAAGAGGACAACGUAAACCUUGAGCAUCAAAGUCUUAGCAAGUGAGGUUUCUUUCCAGCAUGAUAAAUAAUUUGAAAGGAAGAUGGUUAGUUCGUUGUAAUAUCCAUUGUGCAGCAAGGAAAACUUUCCAGAAUGAAAACGUGGAAGAAUUGUGCUGAAAUUGCAGAAGUGAUGACUUAUGGAGCCACCGACGGUCCAUCUCGUCUAAAGAAAAAUGUUGUUGAAGGAAGAUCGGGGAAUUCUGACAAAGUAUGAGGCUACGGAAGCUAUCGACGGACCAUUAUAUCCACGACGGACUGUCUUGCACAUCAGUCAUUGCUAACAGAGAGAAGCCCCAGUACCCGUGGAGAAAUGGAAGCCAUCGAUGGACUGUCAUGAACUCAACAGACCGUCAUCCUGGUCCGUCAAUGGUAACACUGAGUUGGAGAAGAAAGAAGCUAAAAAGACUCUAAGUGGGGAACGACGGGAGGCCUCGACGGUCCGUCGGUCUGGUCGUCGACUCAGACGCAUUUUUGGGUAGAUUUUCCUUUAAUAUAAUUCCUUUUUUUGUUAGGACUUCUUUAUUAUAAAUACUGGUAUAAACCUCGUUUUUGAGGUUAGACUCUUGGUUAUUUUUCUAAU
Molecule: long non-coding RNA, 811 nt
Organism: Solanum pennellii
Lineage: Eukaryota; Viridiplantae; Streptophyta; Magnoliopsida; Solanales; Solanaceae
Exons: 3
Source: RefSeq, a predicted model, not a curated record